RNAcentral lists this ribosomal RNA (484 nucleotides) under uncultured bacterium. RNAcentral's name for it is "partial 16S ribosomal RNA". It matches the Rfam family "Bacterial small subunit ribosomal RNA", at positions 30 to 507 of the family's 1533-position model. The record is from RNAcentral.
AUUGAACGCUGGCGGCAGGCCUAACACAUGCAAGUCGAGCGGAUGAAGGGAGCUUGCUCCUGGAUUCAGCGGCGGACGGGUGAGUAAUGCCUAGGAAUCUGCCUGGUAGUGGGGGAUAACGUCCGGAAACGGGCGCUAAUACCGCAUACGUCCUGAGGGAGAAAGUGGGGGAUCUUCGGACCUCACGCUAUCAGAUGAGCCUAGGUCGGAUUAGCUAGUUGGUGGGGUAAAGGCCUACCAAGGCGACGAUCCGUAACUGGUCUGAGAGGAUGAUCAGUCACACUGGAACUGAGACACGGUCCAGACUCCUACGGGAGGCAGCAGUGGGGAAUAUGGGACAAUGGGCGAAAGCCUGAUCCAGCCAUGCCGCGUGUGUGAAGAAGGUCUUCGGAGUGUAAAGCACUUUAAGUUGGGAGGAAGGGCAGUAAGUUAAUACCUUGCUGUUUUGACGUUACCAACAGAAUAAGCACCGGCUAACUUCGUG